GACGUAGGGGGCCAGCGUUGUUCGGAAUUACUGGGUGUAAAGGGUUCGUAGGCGGUGUGGCAAGUUGGGAGUGAAAUCCCUGGGCUCAACCCAGGAACUGCCUUCUAGACUGCAGAUCUAGAGAUCAGGAGAGGCGAGCGGAAUUCCGAGUGUAGAGGUGAAAUUCGUAGAUAUUCGGAGGAACACCAGUGGCGAAGGCGGCUCGCUGGACUGAUACUGACGCUGAGGUGCGAAAGCGUGGGGAGCAAACAGG
Molecule: ribosomal RNA, 253 nt
Filed under: uncultured bacterium
Lineage: Bacteria
Description: partial 16S ribosomal RNA
Rfam family: Bacterial small subunit ribosomal RNA
Source: RNAcentral